GAUUUCUGGCUUGGUGCGCCUGGCCCGCCACGGUUACGUGUGUGAGUGCCGGGUCGCGCCUGCCAUCCUUCUAGAGAACGUCUCUACCCUUCACUGGGCUGGAGGCGCUAUCUAGAUCCUUUACUUUGAAAAAAUUAGAGUGUUUAAAGCAGGCUAUUGCUAUGAAUACAUUAGCAUGGAAUAAUAAUUUAGGACUUUGGUUCUAUUUUGUUGGUUUCUAGGGCUGAAGUAAUGAUUGAUAGGGAUAGUUGGGGGUGCUAGUAUUCAGCGGCCAGAGGUGAAAUUCUUGGAUUCGCUGAAGACUAACUUAUGCGAAAGCAUU
This 322-nucleotide ribosomal RNA is filed under the name uncultured Rhogostoma. RNAcentral describes it as "SSU rRNA". The stretch from base 106 to 322 matches the Rfam family "Eukaryotic small subunit ribosomal RNA", at positions 737 to 955 of the family's 1831-position model. The record is from RNAcentral. Lineage: Eukaryota; Cercozoa; Thecofilosea; Cryomonadida.